RNAcentral lists this ribosomal RNA (748 nucleotides) under uncultured cyanobacterium. Its description in RNAcentral is "bacterial SSU rRNA". It matches the Rfam family "Bacterial small subunit ribosomal RNA", at positions 8 to 796 of the family's 1533-position model. Lineage: Bacteria; Bacillati; Cyanobacteriota. The record is from RNAcentral.
AGAGUUUGAUCCUGGCUCAGGAUGAACGCUGGCGGUCUGCUUAACACAUGCAAGUCGAACGAAUCCUUUCGGGGAUUAGUGGCGGACGGGUGAGUAACGCGUGAGAAUCUGCCAAAAGGACUGGGACAACCACUGGAAACGGUGGCUAAUACCAGAUGUGCCGCAACGUAAAAGAGGAAACUCGCCUUUUGAGGAGCUCGCGUCUGAUUAGCUAGUUGGUGAGGUAAAAGCUCACCAAGGCAACGAUCAGUAGCUGGUCUGAGAGGACGACCAGCCACACUGGGACUGAGACACGGCCCAGACUCCUACGGGAGGCAGCAGUGGGGAAUUUUCCGCAAUGGGCGAAAGCCUGACGGAGCAAGACCGCGUGAGGGAGGAAGGCUCUUGGGUCGUAAACCUCUUUUGUCAGGGAAGAACACAAUGACGGUACUUGAGGAAUCAGCAUCGGCUAACUCCGUGCCAGCAGCCGCGGUAAUACGGAGGAUGCAAGCGUUAUCCGGAAUGAUUGGGCGUAAAGCGUCCGCAGGUGGCAAUGUAAGUCUGCUGUUAAAGAGUGAGGCUUAACCUCAUAAAAGCAGUGGAAACUAUAUCGCUAGAGUGUGGUAGGGGCAGAGGGAAUUAAGAGAGUAGCGGUGAAAUGCGUAGAUACUCUUAAGAACACCAGUGGCGAAAGCGCCCUGCUAGACCGCAACUGACACUCAUGGACGAAAGCUAGGGGAGCAAAUGGGAUUAGAUACCCCAGUAGUCC